Molecule: ribosomal RNA, 492 nt
Filed under: uncultured bacterium
Lineage: Bacteria
Description: partial 16S ribosomal RNA
Rfam family: Bacterial small subunit ribosomal RNA
Source: RNAcentral
AGUGAACGCUGGCGGUAGGCCUAACACAUGCAAGUCGAACGGCAGCACAGUAAGAGCUUGCUCUUACGGGUGGCGAGUGGCGGACGGGUGAGGAAUACAUCGGAAUCUACUUUUUCGUGGGGGAUAACGUAGGGAAACUUACGCUAAUACCGCAUACGACCUACGGGUGAAAGCAGGGGAUCUUCUGACCUUGCGCGAUUGAAUGAGCCGAUGUCGGAUUAGCUAGUUGGCGGGGUAAAGGCCCACCAAGGCGACGAUCCGUAGCUGGUCGGAGAGGAUGAUCAGCCACACUGGAACUGAGACACGGUCCAGACUCCUACGGGAGGCAGCAGUGGGGAAUAUUGGACAAUGGGCGCAAGCCUGAUCCAGCCAUACCGCGUGGGUGAAGAAGGCCUUCGGGUUGUAAAGCCCUUUUGUUGGGAAAGAAAAGCAGCAGGUUAAUACCCCGCUGUUCUGACGGUACCCAAAGAAUAAGCACCGGCUAACUUCGUG